AUGUUCUGCAGGUCCUCUAAACCUCUUGAGUAAUGACUGAAAACGCAAUAUUCAGUAAAAAAUAUUUUGUUUAAUUCUUUCUUCAGAAGAUAGUCCAGGCCUGGCCAACCUCUUGGAUGAUAAUGUAGAAUGGAUGGAAGAAUUAAUAACGUGGGUAUUUCUUGAUCUUCAAUUUCCAAGACAUUCGUGGGCUUAGCCUCAUAAUCUGCAAUCCUUCCAAAGAAAACAAUAAAGCUCAGCCAAGGUUUUUCCAUGUUUUCUGCACCGUAUUAAGAUAGUUGUGUAUAUAUUUGUAGAUGGUCGGAGUUCACAUUUGUAUUUGUGCUCCUAACAGUCGUUUUGCAUGUCUUUUAAGAGAGGAUGAGGGUGAUGGUGAUUUUGACCCCUCUGUGGAGGCCAACGGGGGACAGAGUUACACUUCUGCCGGGACAGCGCGGAUGUUCAAGCUGAGACGAAGCAUGCACCAGCUGGCCUCUUUACGCACGCAGAAGGAGAAGGAAGUGCUGACAGCCAGAGAAGAGCUCAAACUGUGUCAUCAGAAAAUCCAGAGUGUGACGGAGCAGAGAAAUGACCUGGAGGAAGAGAUCGAACGGCAAAAAGAAGCAGAGAGGAGGUGAAUUCAGACUGGUGGACGUGUGCCACACAUGAUGGAAACUGCCUCUGUGCUUUGUUUCACGGCCUGGCGUUGCGCUCCAUGUUUCCUCAGCGCGGUAGUGUUUCGUUUGCGAGCCCAGCAUAAGCAUGUGUGUCUGAUGCUGCACAAUGAGGAGGAGCUGAGAAGCCGCAUCAAGGCUGAGCUGAAGCAACACGAACUGGAGCUGAACAAGGUGGAACUGGAACUUGGCAGGUUGUCCUUGUUCCAGCAGGAGGUGCGGGAGGAGGAGGAGGCCUAUAAGCUCCAUAAGGCCCAGAAGGCAGUGCUGAGGCUGCAGCAGCAAAGGAAAGCCAGCCAGAACAUGCAGCUCAAGAGGCAGCAUCUGAUAAAUGAACAGGCAGCAGAGAAAAUGAAAAUGGAGGCAGAACAUCAGAGGAAGGCAGAAGCAAGCCGCCUCAGCCACAUGAUAACUGAUAAAUACUUGAAGGAGACCAUUAAAAGGUAAGCAGCCAUGACGUGGGUUUAACAGACUGAGUAUUCAAACAAGCUCACAGCUUUAUCUCCACGCACGCUCGGAGGAUCCCACCAAUCAUUAUAUAUUCCGAACUGACCAAAAAAGACAUUUGUGACUAUGUGUGAAUCUCUUCACCAGUUUCACAGAUUUGGGGAUGAAAAAGAAUAGCAGAUUGCAAAUGAGCAUGAAAUAUUCAAGUUAUCAGCAAUAUUCUCACCCUGUUUCCUAAAGUGGUGAACAUUCAGAAACGUUCUUGCACUCGAUAACAAACAUUCCACUUUGUCUGCUUUAUGUACGGUACUUUUAUCUAUCGCAGUACUUCACAAACACUUGUUUACCUGAGUUGGCCCACAGGUGCAAUUUCAGUUGUUGUAUGUGGACAAUUUUGCUAGAUGCUGGAUAUCAAUGUGACUUCUCCACGUCGCCUUCAGGAUACAUCAGCAAAAAGCUGAGGAAGAACAGCAGAGGAUGGAGAUGCAGAAACGGAGGACACAGGCAGCAGAGUCACUAAAGUCAAACAUAGAAGCUAACAAAGUAAUCAAUUCUACUAAAUCUCUCUCUCUGAAAACAUAUAUAUAUAUAUAGUGUGUGUGUGUGUAUGCAUACACAUAUGCAUACGCAUCUAUAUAACUUGCACAUAUAGUUCUAUCUUUGAAUGUACACAAAGCAGAACAGUUGGUCCUUUUUGAGAUGAUUUCAAAGAGGCUGAUUUUGAGGAGUUUGCCAAGCAUAAACACAUCUCACAG
RNAcentral lists this long non-coding RNA (1855 nucleotides) under Takifugu rubripes (torafugu). Its description in RNAcentral is "lncRNA (ENSTRUG00000026945.1)". The record is from RNAcentral. Lineage: Eukaryota; Metazoa; Chordata; Actinopteri; Tetraodontiformes; Tetraodontidae.